GUGAAUCCGCGUCCCAUUAGCCAGUUGGUGGGGUAAAGGCCUACCAAAGCGACGAUGGGUAGCCGGCCUGAGAGGGUGACCGGCCACACUGGAACUGAGAUACGGUCCAGACUCCUACGGGAGGCAGCAGUAGGGAAUUUUCGGCAAUGGGCGCAAGCCUGACCGAGCAACGCCGCGUGAGUGAAGAAGGCCUUCGGGUUGUAAAGCUCUGUUGUAAGGGAAGAACUCUGACGGUACCUUACCAGAAAGCCACGGCUAACUACGUGCCAGCAGCCGCGGUAAUACGUAGGUGGCAAGCGUUAUCCGGAAUUAUUGGGCGUAAAGGGAGCGUAGGCGGUUUGAUAAGUCUGAGGUGAAAGUUCGGGGCUCAACUCCGGAUUGCCUUAGAAACUGUCAGACUAGAGUGCAGGAGAGGGCAAUGGAAUUCCAUGUGUAGCGGUAAAAUGCGUAGAUAUAUGGAGGAACACCAGUGGCGAAGGCGGUUGCCUGGCCUGUAACUGACGCUGAGGCUCGAAAGCGUGGGGAGCAAAUAGGAUUAGAUACCCUAGUAGUCCACGCUGUAAACGAUGAUUACUAAGUGUUGCGGGUAUUGACCCCUUCUGCCGCAGUUAACACAAUAAGUAUUCCACCUGGGGAGUACGAUCGCAAGGUUGAAACUCAAAGGAAUUGACGGGGGCCCGCACAAGCGGAGGAACAUGUGGUUUAAUUCGAUGAUACGCGAGGAACCUUACCUGGGCUGGGCUUAAAUGUAGAGCGACAGAUUGUGAAAGCAGUCCUUCUUCGGACGAUCUACAAGGUGCUGCAUGGUUGUCGUCAGCUCGUGCCGUGAGGUGUCGGGUUAAGUCCCAUAACGAGCGCAACCCUUAUCGUUAGUUGCCAGCGGAUCAUGCCGGGGACUCUAGCGAGACUGCCGGUGAUAAACCGGAGGAAGGUGGGGAUGACGUCAAAUCAUCAUGCCCCUUAUAUCUUGGGCUACACACGUGCUACAAUGGUCGGUACAACGAGUUGCUACCUAUGAUCUGGAGCAAAUCCCAAUAAACCGAUCCCAGUUCGGAUUGUAGGCUGCAACUCGCCUACAUGAAGUUGGAGUUGCUAGUAAUCGCGAAUCAGAACGUCGCGGUGAAUGCGUUCCCGGGUCUUGUACACACCGCCCGUCACACCAUGGGAGUAGGCAAUACCCGAAG
Molecule: ribosomal RNA, 1184 nt
Filed under: uncultured bacterium
Lineage: Bacteria
Description: bacterial SSU rRNA
Rfam family: Bacterial small subunit ribosomal RNA
Source: RNAcentral